AGCAGCCGCGGUAAUUCCAGCUCCAAUAGCGUAUAUUAAAGUUGUUGCAGUUAAAAAGCUCGUAGUUGAAUUUCGGGGUUAGUAGGUUGGUCAUGCCUCUGGUAUGUACUGGUCUCACUGAUUCCUCCUUCCUGAUGAGCCGUAAUGCCAUUAAUUUGGUGUUGCGGGGAAUUUGGACUGUUACUUUGGAAAAAUUAGAGUGUUUAAAGCAAGCUAACGCUUGAAUACAUUAGCAUGGAAUAAUGAAAUAGGACGUUCGAUCCUAUUUUGUUGGUUUCUAGGAUUGACGUAAUGAUUAAUAGGGAUAGUUGGGGGCAUUAGUAUUCAAUUGUCAGAGGUGAAAUUCUUGGAUUUAUUGAAGACUAACUACUGCGAAAGCAUUUGCCAAGGAUGUUUUCAUUAAUCAAGAACGAAAGUUAGGGGAUCGAAGACGAUCAGAUACCGUCGUAGUCUUAACCAUAAACUAUGCCGACUAGGGAUCGGAUGAUGUUAAUUUUUAUGACUCAUU
This 508-nucleotide ribosomal RNA is filed under the name uncultured Glomus. RNAcentral's name for it is "SSU rRNA". It matches the Rfam family "Eukaryotic small subunit ribosomal RNA", at positions 569 to 1080 of the family's 1831-position model. The record is from RNAcentral. Lineage: Eukaryota; Fungi; Glomeromycota; Glomeromycetes; Glomerales; Glomeraceae.